Molecule: ribosomal RNA, 497 nt
Filed under: uncultured bacterium
Lineage: Bacteria
Description: bacterial SSU rRNA
Rfam family: Bacterial small subunit ribosomal RNA
Source: RNAcentral
AUGAACGCUAGCGACAGGCCUAACACAUGCAAGUCGAGGGGCGAGCACAAGGAGCAAUCUGAGGUGGCGACCGGCGCACGGGUGAGUAACACGUAUGCAACCUGCCUGUAAGCGGGGAAUAACCCGUUGAAAGACGGACUAAUACCGCAUAAUACUAAAUUACUGCAUGGUAAUUUAUUUAAACAUUUAUGGCUUACAGAUGGGCAUGCGCAUGAUUAGCUAGUUGGAGAGGUAACGGCUCCCCAAGGCAACGAUCAUUAGGGGUUCUGAGAGGAAGGUCCCCCACACUGGUACUGAGACACGGACCAGACUCCUACGGGAGGCAGCAGUGAGGAAUAUUGGUCAAUGGACGAGAGUCUGAACCAGCCAAGUCGCGUGCAGGAAGAAUGUUCCCUAUGGAUUGUAAACUGCUUUUGCAGGGGAAUAAAGUGCAUCACGUGUGAUGUUUUGUAUGUACUCUGCGAAUAAGGAUCGGCUAACUCCGUGCCAGCAGCCGC